UGUGGAGCGUGGGAUCUGAUUCCGUAGUAGUCGAGUGAUGGGGUGACGCAGGAAGGUAGCUCCGCCAGUGAGUGGUAGUACUGGUGUAAGCGUGUAGGCCGAAACAUAGGUAAAUCCGUGUUUCAUUAAGGCUGAGACGUGAUGCGUAGCCGAUUGAGGUGAAGUAGAGUGAUCCUAUGCUGCCGAGAAAAGCCUCUAGCGAGUGCGUGCACGGCCCGUACCCCAAACCAACACAGGUGGUCAGGUAGAGAAUACUAAGGCGAUCGGGUGAACUGUGGUUAAGGAACUCGGCAAAAUGCCCCCGUAACUUCGGGAGAAGGGGGGCCAGUGUUCCUGAAGUCCCUUGCGGACUAGGGAAUGGUGGCCGCAGAGACCAGCGGAAAGCGACUGUUUACUAAAAACACAGGUCCAUGCGAAGUCGCAAGACGAUGUAUAUGGACUGACGCCUGCCCGGUGCUGGAACGUUAAGAGGACCGGUUAACCCCUUUGGGGGUGAAGCUGAGAAUUUAAGCGCCAGUAAACGGCGGUGGUAACUAUAACCAUCCUAAGGUAGCGAAAUUCCUUGUCGGGUAAGUUCCGACCUGCACGAAUGGCGUAACGACUUUCCGGCUGUCUCAACCACAGGCCCGGCGAAAUUGCACUACGAGUAAAGAUGCUCGUUACGCGCGGCAGGACGGAAAGACCCCGGGACCUUUACUAUAGUUUGGUAUUGGUU
Molecule: ribosomal RNA, 715 nt
Filed under: Amycolatopsis sp. BJA-103
Lineage: Bacteria; Bacillati; Actinomycetota; Actinomycetes; Pseudonocardiales; Pseudonocardiaceae
Description: bacterial LSU rRNA
Rfam family: Bacterial large subunit ribosomal RNA
Source: RNAcentral